UGGCGGACGGGUGAGUAAUGUCUGGAAAACUGCCCGAUGGAGGGGGAUAACUACUGGAAACGGUAGCUAAUACCGCAUAACGUCGCAAGACCAAAGAGGGGGACCUUCGGGCCUCUUGCCAUCGGAUGUGCCCAGAUGGGAUUAGCUAGUAGGUGGGGUAACGGCUCACCUAGGCGACGAUCCCUAGCUGGUCUGAGAGGAUGACCAGCCACGCUGGAACUGAGACACGGUCCAG
Molecule: ribosomal RNA, 235 nt
Filed under: uncultured bacterium
Lineage: Bacteria
Description: partial 16S ribosomal RNA
Rfam family: Bacterial small subunit ribosomal RNA
Source: RNAcentral